Molecule: ribosomal RNA, 798 nt
Filed under: uncultured bacterium
Lineage: Bacteria
Description: bacterial SSU rRNA
Rfam family: Bacterial small subunit ribosomal RNA
Source: RNAcentral
GUUUGAUCAUGGCUCAGAUCGAACGCUGGCGGCGUGGCUAAGGCAUGCAAGUCGAACGGACAUGGUUUUUGGGUAACCGAGUUCCAUGUUAGUGGCGAACGGGUGAGGAAUACAUGGAUAACGUACCCUGGACUCGGGGAUAGCGGCGGAACUUCGGUUCCUUUGCGAAAGCGCCGGUAAUACCCGAUGACCCCGCGGAAUCGCAUGAUUCUGCGGGCAAAGCUCCGGCGGUCCGGGAGCGGUCCAUGUCCUAUCAGCUUGUUGGUGGGGUAACGGCCCACCAAGGCAACGACGGGUACCGGGCGUGAGAGCGUGACCCGGCACAUCGGAACUGAGACACGGUCCGGACACCUACGGGUGGCUGCAGCAACGAAUAUUCCGCAAUGGACGAAAGUCUGACGGAGCGACGCCGCGUGCAGGAAGAAGUCCUUCGGGAUGUAAACUGCUGUCAGGGGCUAGAAAGAUCUGAUCAGCCCCAGAGGAAGUCUCGGCUAACUACGUGCCAGCAGCCGCGGUAAUACGUAGGAGGCGAGCGUUGUUCGGAAUCAUUGGGCUUAAAGAGCGUGUAGGCGGACUGUCAGGUGCCUUGUGAAAGCCCCGGGCUCAACCCGGGAAUUGCUGGGCAAACCGGCAGUCUUGAGGCAGGUAGAGGUCAUUGGAACGACUGGUGGAGCGGUGAAAUGCGUAGAUAUCAGUUGGAACGCCGGAGGCGAAAGCGGGUGGCUGGACCUGUCCUGACGCUGAGACGCGAAAGCGUGGGUAGCAAACAGGAUUAGAUACCCUGGUAGUCCACGCCGU